CCUACGGGAGGCAGCAGUGAGGAAUAUUGGUCAAUGGCCGGAAGGCUGAACCAGCCAUGCCGCGUGAAGGUCAGUGCCCUAUGGGCGUUAAACUUCUUUUGUGCGGGAGCAAUAAUGGUCACGUGUGGCCAGACGAGAGUACCGUACGAAUAAGCAUCGGCUAACUCCGUGCCAGCAGCCGCGGUAAUACGGGGGAUGCAAGCGUUAUCCGGAUUUAUUGGGGUUAAAGGGUGCGUAGGCUGGGAGGUAAGUCAGCGGGGAAAUGCCCCGGCUCAACGGGGUGAAGUGCCAUUGAUACUGGCUUGCUGGAGUGCGUGUGCGGUAGGAGGAAUGUGUGGUGUAGCGGUGAAAUGCAUAGAUAUCACACAGAACACCGAUUGCGAAGGCAGCUCACGGGUCCGCGAUUGACGCUGAUGCACGAAAGCGUGGGUAUCGAACAGGAUUAGAUACCCGAGUAGUC
RNAcentral lists this ribosomal RNA (460 nucleotides) under uncultured bacterium. RNAcentral describes it as "partial 16S ribosomal RNA". It matches the Rfam family "Bacterial small subunit ribosomal RNA", at positions 338 to 795 of the family's 1533-position model. The record is from RNAcentral.